CCUUUAAGUUUGGCCGGCAGGCAGCCGCAGCUCUCGCGGGAUCCGACACUCUGAUUAUCGCGAGAGAGGUAUUCGGCACCCAUUGGCUGUGAGGGUUGAAUGUAAGAUGGCGCCCAGGGAGCUGUGAGGAGAAAAUCCUGUCGGUCUUGGAGCGGCGACGGCAGAACCGGGCCCCGGACGGUGCAGCCGGGCCGGCGGGUAGAGCGGAGGCAGCGGCGGCGGUGACGUCGCCGGAAUGUUAGAAGUCUUAAGAACUCAGGACAAGCAGCAGAAAUACAUGCAACAUGGUGACUGGUGUUUAAGAAGCACCUGCUAUAUGUGAACAAUUUAGAGAGAACCAGGACGCAGUCUUGUCUGCCUGGAGUUUACAGCCAAGAGGAGGAAAGGAGCUAAUUGCCCCCUUACCUGAAAUCUGUGACAUAAGGAAGAGCA
Molecule: long non-coding RNA, 432 nt
Filed under: Castor canadensis (American beaver)
Lineage: Eukaryota; Metazoa; Chordata; Mammalia; Rodentia; Castoridae
Description: lncRNA (ENSCCNG00000004040.1)
Source: RNAcentral